GAAUAGGUCAUUAUUAUAAUGCGUUAUACACUAUGAAUAGGUCAUUAUUAUAAUGCGUUAUACACUAUGAAUAGGUCAUUAUUAUAAUGCGUUAUACACUAUGAAUAGGUCAUUAUUAUAAUGCGUUAUACACUAUGAAUAGGUCAUUAUUAUAAUGCGUUAUACACUAUGAAUAGGUCAUUAUUAUAAUGCGUUAUACACUAUGAAUAGGUCAUUAUUAUAAUGCAUUAUACACUAUGAAUAGGUCAUUAUUAUAAUGCGUUAUACACUAUGAAUAGGUCAUUAUUAUAAUGCGUUAUACACUAUGAAUAGGUCAUUAUUAUAAUGCAUUAUACACUAUGAAUAGGUCAUUAUUAUAAUGCGUUAUACACUAUGAAUAGGUCAUUAUUAUAAUGCGUUAUACACUAUGAAUAGGUCAUUAUUAUAAUGCGUUAUACACUAUGAAUAGGUCAUUAUUAUAAUGCAUU
Xyrauchen texanus (razorback sucker) is the source of this 467-nucleotide long non-coding RNA. RefSeq lists it as uncharacterized. The transcript has 3 exons. The record is from RefSeq and is a predicted model, not a curated record. NCBI's taxonomy places the organism in Eukaryota, Metazoa, Chordata, Actinopteri, Cypriniformes, Catostomidae.